Molecule: unclassified non-coding RNA, 372 nt
Filed under: soil metagenome
Description: partial contains 5.8S ribosomal RNA, internal transcribed spacer 2, and large subunit ribosomal RNA
Rfam family: 5.8S ribosomal RNA (bases 1-121)
Source: RNAcentral
GAUGAAGAACCGUAGCGAAAUGCGAUAAGUAAUGUGAAUUGCAGAAUUCAGUGAAUCAUCGAAUCUUUGAACGCACAUUGCGCCCCCCGGCAUUCCGGGGAGCAUGCCUGUUCGAGCGUCUCUUGGAAUACCCCUCACGCCGGCGGAGGCGUGGUCAUGGCGGCGGUGGCGUGCCCCGGGAGGGAGGCCACCGCGCUGGAAUCCAUGGGCGGACGCCUGCCGCGUGGCCGAGCGUGAUAAGACGCACUGGCGCUCGCGCGCGGCGAGGCUGCCGGCCCUGGCCCGCUCGUCGGGCGGGGACAGCAACACUUGGGAACUCCUCGAAUCAGGUAGGGAUACCCGCUGAACUUAAGCAUAUCAAUAAGCGGAGGA